Molecule: ribosomal RNA, 444 nt
Filed under: Rhodococcus sp. SBR2A
Lineage: Bacteria; Bacillati; Actinomycetota; Actinomycetes; Mycobacteriales; Nocardiaceae
Description: bacterial SSU rRNA
Rfam family: Bacterial small subunit ribosomal RNA
Source: RNAcentral
UUGAUCCUGGCUCAGGACGAACGCUGGCGGCGUGCUUAACACAUGCAAGUCGAGCGGUAAGGCCUUUCGGGGUACACGAGCGGCGAACGGGUGAGUAACACGUGGGUGAUCUGCCCUGCACUUCGGGAUAAGCCUGGGAAACUGGGUCUAAUACCGGAUAUGACCUCCUAUCGCAUGGUGGGUGGUGGAAAGAUUUAUCGGUGCAGGAUGGGCCCGCGGCCUAUCAGCUUGUUGGUGGGGUAAUGGCCUACCAAGGCGACGACGGGUAGCCGACCUGAGAGGGUGACCGGCCACACUGGGACUGAGACACGGCCCAGACUCCUACGGGAGGCAGCAGUGGGGAAUAUUGCACAAUGGGCGAAAGCCUGAUGCAGCGACGCCGCGUGAGGGAUGACGGCCUUCGGGUUGUAAACCUCUUUCAGCAGGGACGAAGCGCAAGUGACG